RNAcentral lists this long non-coding RNA (2416 nucleotides) under Homo sapiens (human). Its description in RNAcentral is "HSALNT0081625". The record is from RNAcentral. Lineage: Eukaryota; Metazoa; Chordata; Mammalia; Primates; Hominidae.
GUAGGGUGUGUGUGUGGUGAGUGUGUGUGUGCUGUGCGUGUGAUAUGGUUUCACUGUGUCCCCACCCAAACCUCACCUUGACUUGUAGUUCCCAUAAUCCCCAUGUGUUGAGGGUGGGACCUGGUAGGAAGUGACUGCAUCACGGGGGUGGUUUUCUCCUUCCCCCAUCAUGCUGUUCUCAUGAUAGUGAGUGAGCUCUCAAGAGAUCUGGUGGUUUUAUAAGGGACUCUUCCCCUUCGCUUGGAACUUCUCCUUCCUGCCACCCUGUGAAGAAGGUGCCUUGCUUUCCCAUCCCCUUCUGCCAUGAUUGUAAGUUCCCUGAGGCCUCCCAGCCAUGCCGAACUUUUCUAGAUGCUCUUUUCCCACUCCCACCCCACGUGGGGAACCCAGCUCAUCCGGAUCUGCAUGCUCGUAGCUUUCUCCACAGGAGGCUGAGAAGCCACCAAACACAGAGAGGGAUCUGAACGGCUGGGGAUACUUAGUGCCGAUCACAGGGCCCCGCUUCGUAUGCUUUGAAAUGCUUGUAUUUAAGUCAACUCUGUCCCCUCUCCUGGCAGAGUUUUCAGCUGAAGAUGAAAAUGCUGCUAUGGCAUUCCCUGCAGUCCACGUUGCUAGGAGAGGAUGAAUUCAGGAGCUGUGGGCUUUCCAGACUUUCAGUCAGCCCCUGUCAACACCCCUUAAAUAACCAGUGGUAAACUGCCUGUCAGAAUGAUGGAGAGCCACUUGAUUCCCAUUUCCUUCUCUAGGGCACAGACUCUCACCUCAUUGCCAGGCUGGCAGGUCAUUCGUCCAGGCAUCAUAUGGCUAUAAAACCAGUGGUAUUCUUUUUAUUUGAAAUGGGGUGGUAGUAGUGGUGGUGGGGAGACAUAAAUCCUAAGUGGUUCACACAGGAUGCAAAGUGACACAAUUUGUGUGUAUGUAAGAGUGUAUAUGAGUUUGGGGGUGGGAGGGCCUUAUUUUGGGAGAAAAUUCUCCCAAAUGUUGGAGUAUUGGGGGCAAAAAUUCUGUUACUCUGAACAAUGUCUGCAUAACAGUGAAAAUCAGAGGACCGUAAGUAUUGAAAAGUACUGCCAAAAUAAUGGGGUUUGAAGGCAGAUGUGUAUUGAAAAACCCUGAAUGAGAAUAAGGGUGCUGCUGAAUCAGGAGGCAGAAAGGAGGGACUUUCAGCUGGUUCACAUGGAAGAGAUAUGAAAUGCUUUAGACAGUCUGGAAAGGUAGGAAGCAGAUGUGAAAUGAACAGGGGGCAACCUGUUGAGAGCUGUUUUGAGAACUGAGAGAACAGACAUCUCAGUAUGCCUCAAAUAUUGAGCUAGAAAAGAGGCAGCCUAAAGGAGCAUCUAACACAAGCCAAAACAAAACCAAAAUACCUUAAAUCAAGCCCAAAAAAAAAAGACAACAGGAAAGAACCUUCCUCCUGGAAAUAUAAAUGUGGUAGAGGGGUUAAUGAUGGUGCUGUAUAUCAGGAAUGGAAGGUAGGAGCAGCAGGAUUCAGAAUUCUUGGAGUAGAGGUUGAGUGAAGAAGUCAGCUCACUAAAGGGAACUAGAGUAAUGCUUGCAAGGACCUUGUCUGUUUCACAUGCUGGUUGUUCCAUGGUGGCAGAAGUGGGAUCUGAUGUUCUACAUCUUGCAUAACUAAAAAGGUAGCAUGCACUAAACUUGGAAAGAUCUUAAAUCUGUACCCUGAAAAUUAUCCCACAUUCGUGGAAAAAUUAGUAUGCCUAUUAGUAUUGUCACCAUGCAAGAACUGCACUGGCAAUGAAGACAGUGAUGUAAGAAGACAGAAGUGAGUCCAGACACAGGAUCCAUUGUCUAAGCAACUGAUGGGAGAAAUGGCUUCGUGACUGUCCUGAGGCAAUGGUGGUGAGGCAGGAAUUAAACACCUCCCAGGGAUGAAAUGGUGUCACCUUGUAUUGUGUUUCACCUUAAUUAUCUCCAUGAGAACUUCACACAUGUAUUAAAAAAACCCAACAUGACACAUUCGUAAGGUAGUUACUAUCUGUUGCAGAAUUUCAUGUAUUAUAUUUGUGCCCUAAGUUAGCCAUUAUUAUCCCAAUUUUAUAGUUAAGGGAAUGGAAACUCAAAAAACAUAUGGCUUGCUUACAGAGCUACACAACUUGUGGGAGAGGAGCUGGGAUUGGGACUCCAAUUUUGGGACUCUGUGUUCAUCAUGUUUUUUGGUCCCCCAUGUUCCCCUUCUUUAAAUGACUGAGUACAUGUCAUUUCAAAAACUUGUGGCCUUGGGCAAUGGCAGGCAGAAUAGGAAGUAAAUAUGUCUCAUUUUCCCUUUGUGAUUUCUCUAUGGUUCCAUAAAGAAAUAAACACAUUUAAAAGGUUAGCCAUUUGCCUUUGCCUGAGUAAAGUAUAAAGUUUUUUAAAAAAGCAUUUCCAGUUAUUUUGUGUAUUAAUCUAAUGAUGG